CCUACGGGUGGCAGCAGUGAGGAAUAUUUGUCAAUGGACGAGAGUCUGAACCAGCCAAGUAGCGUGAAGGAUGACUGCCCUAUGGGUUGUAAACUUCUUUUAUAUGGGAAUAAAAUGUUCAACGUGUGGGAUUUUGUAUGUACCAGAUGAAUAAGGAUCGGCUAACUCCGUGCACGCAGCCGUGGUAAUACGGAGGAGCCGAGCGUUAGCCGGAUGUAUUGGGUUUAAAGGGAGCGUAGGUGGAUUGUUAAGUCAGUUGUGAAAGUUUGCGGCUCAACCGUAAAAUGGCAGUUGAAACUGGGAGUCUUGAGUACAGUAGAGGUGGGCGGAAUUCGUGGUGUAGCAGUGAAAUGCUUAGAUAUCACGAAGAACUCCGAUGGCGAAGGCAGGUCACUGGACUGCAACUGACACUGAGGCUCGAAGGUGAGGGUAGCAAACGGGAUUAGAUACCCCAGUAGUC
This 460-nucleotide ribosomal RNA is filed under the name uncultured bacterium. Its description in RNAcentral is "partial 16S ribosomal RNA". It matches the Rfam family "Bacterial small subunit ribosomal RNA", at positions 338 to 795 of the family's 1533-position model. The record is from RNAcentral.